This 294-nucleotide small RNA is filed under the name Histoplasma capsulatum. RNAcentral's name for it is "hypothetical RNA". Lineage: Eukaryota; Fungi; Ascomycota; Eurotiomycetes; Onygenales; Ajellomycetaceae. The record is from RNAcentral. RNAcentral also lists the same sequence under 1 other name.
GUUUAGAACAAACUUGCACUCACAUUCCAUUAGAAAAUCCAAGCAUCAACGUCAAGAAUCCUUUCUUCAUCAAGAAAAACUCCAAAACAACAAUUCUACCAACCUCAAAAUGAAGGCCUUCUAUUCUUUCGCUCUCCUCAUCGCGGCUGCUCUCGUCUCUGCCGCACCCGCUGACAAGCCUGCUGGCAAACUCGUUCCCAAGGGUGAAGUUACUGGCGGCCGCGAGUACCUCUACUACGUUGUUCCCUCUGCCGAAGAUGAUAAGGCCUAUUAAGUGAAUACUCUGGCAACUCA